This 200-nucleotide unclassified non-coding RNA is filed under the name soil metagenome. Its description in RNAcentral is "partial contains internal transcribed spacer 2 and large subunit ribosomal RNA". The record is from RNAcentral.
GCCUGUUCGAGCGUCAUUUCACCAGUCAAGCCUAGCUUGGUAUUGGGAUUCGCGGUUUCGCGGUCCUUAAAAUCAGUGGCGGUGCCUGUAGGCUCUGAGCGUAGUAAUUUUCUCGCUAUAGUCCCCUGCAGGUUGCUUGCCAGCAACCCCAAAUUUUUCAGGUUGACCUCGGAUCAGGUAGGGAUACCCGCUGAACUUAA